This 314-nucleotide ribosomal RNA is filed under the name uncultured Bacillota bacterium. RNAcentral describes it as "bacterial SSU rRNA". It matches the Rfam family "Bacterial small subunit ribosomal RNA", at positions 28 to 351 of the family's 1533-position model. Lineage: Bacteria; Bacillati; Bacillota. The record is from RNAcentral.
GAUGAACGCUGGCGGCGUGCCUAACACAUGCAAGUCGAGCGAUUUACUUCGGUAAAGAGCGGCGGACGGGUGAGUAACGCGUGGGUAACCUGCCCUGUACACACGGAUAACAUACCGAAAGGUAUGCUAAUACGGGAUAAUGUACUUUUGUCGCAUGGCAAAAGUAUCAAAGCUCCGGCGGUACAGGAUGGACCCGCGUCUGAUUAGCUAGUUGGAGAGGUAAUGGCUCACCAAGGCGACGAUCAGUAGCCGACCUGAGAGGGUGAUCGGCCACAUUGGAACUGAGACACGGUCCAAACUCCUACGGGAGGCAG